RNAcentral lists this transfer RNA (72 nucleotides) under Candidatus Nealsoniibacteriota bacterium. RNAcentral describes it as "Candidatus Nealsonbacteria bacterium tRNA-Arg". It matches the Rfam family "tRNA". Rfam says of the family: Transfer RNA (tRNA) molecules are approximately 80 nucleotides in length. Their secondary structure includes four short double-helical elements and three loops (D, anti-codon, and T loops). Lineage: Bacteria; Candidatus Nealsoniibacteriota. The record is from RNAcentral.
GCCUCCGUGGUGAAACGGAUAUCAUGUCGGUCUUCGGAACCGCAGUUCCGGGUUCGAAUCCUGGCGGAGGCA